AUGAAAAAGGCAAACUUGCUGAAAGGCAAGGACGCAAAGCCAAGGGUCUAAAGCAGUAUGCCAUGACAGCCGGUUACCA
This 79-nucleotide non-coding RNA is filed under the name Paenibacillus tuaregi. Its description in RNAcentral is "Cyclic di-GMP-I riboswitch". It matches the Rfam family "c-di-GMP-I riboswitch aptamer". From Rfam's summary of the family: GEMM was predicted in a large-scale screen for bacterial structured RNA regulatory elements. Genes associated with GEMM are involved in a diverse array of functions, including chemotaxis regulation, signal transduction, secretion and chitin. Lineage: Bacteria; Bacillati; Bacillota; Bacilli; Caryophanales; Paenibacillaceae. The record is from RNAcentral.